RNAcentral lists this microRNA (22 nucleotides) under Panagrellus redivivus. RNAcentral's name for it is "prd-miR-7920-5p". The record is from miRBase by way of RNAcentral. Lineage: Eukaryota; Metazoa; Nematoda; Chromadorea; Rhabditida; Panagrolaimidae.
UGUUUUCAAUUCAUAGUAACGC